GAGGGUAUAGGUCAGUGGUAGAGCGCAUGCUUAGCACGCACGAGGUCCUGGGUUCCAUCCCCAGUACCUCCA
RNAcentral lists this transfer RNA (72 nucleotides) under Camelus bactrianus (Bactrian camel). It matches the Rfam family "tRNA". Rfam says of the family: Transfer RNA (tRNA) molecules are approximately 80 nucleotides in length. Lineage: Eukaryota; Metazoa; Chordata; Mammalia; Artiodactyla; Camelidae. RNAcentral also lists the same sequence under 2 other names. The record is from Rfam by way of RNAcentral.